Molecule: ribosomal RNA, 322 nt
Filed under: Thalassospira xiamenensis
Lineage: Bacteria; Pseudomonadati; Pseudomonadota; Alphaproteobacteria; Rhodospirillales; Thalassospiraceae
Description: bacterial SSU rRNA
Rfam family: Bacterial small subunit ribosomal RNA
Source: RNAcentral
AAAGGCUGGGCGGGCAGGCCUAACACAUGCAAGUCGUCCGAGAAGGUUCCUUCGGGAACUGGAGAGUGGCGCACGGGUGAGUAACGCGUGGGGACCUACCUCUUAGUGGGGGAUAACGGUUGGAAACGACCGCUAAUACCGCAUACGCCCUUCGGGGGAAAGAUUUAUCGCUAAGAGAUGGACCCGCGUUGGAUUAGAUAGUUGGUGAGGUAACGGCUCACCAAGUCAGCGAUCCAUAGCUGGUUUGAGAGGAUGAUCACCACACUGGGACUGAGACCCGGCCCAACUCCUACGGGAGGCAGCCCGGGCAAUAUUGGAGUUU